AAGGCUGCAGAGCCUCCCCUGUGUGCCGAUGGUGCAGCCAAGGGCACAAAACCGAGGUUUGCCCCCAGGGAGGUGACAGGACGAAGGCAAAGUGCGCGCGAUGUGAAGGCCCGCAUUGCGCCAAUUACAGAGGCUGCAUGGCCUACAAGAGGGAGAACUGGCGUCACCUCCCGCAACAGGAGCGGAAAGACAGAGAGCUGCAGUCCAAACGCGCAUUGCGCGAAAACAAGCGAGCAACAGCCGCGGCUCAAGUCCGCCCGCCCCCACAACAAGCCGGCCCCUCAGGCUACUACCCCCAGCCCCCAAGGCAGCCGUGGCGAGCCCCGAGCUACCCCGCCCCCCCGCAAUGGCAGAGCCCUAAUCAAUAUUCAGUGCUGAGCGAUAGGCAUGAACUGGAGUAUCCUGUCAUGGCAAACCCACCCAGACCUAGAGGCCAGCCCCUGCCCCAGAGGCCCCCGAAGAAACACCUUUCGGGGCACAAAAACGGUAAAGGCCGGGCGCAAGGUCAAGUGAUGGAUCAGCCAGGUACUAAGGCGCCACCCAACUCCACCACUCCCCCCAGUGAUUCCAAGAAAGUCGCGCCUGCGGGCUGAUUACGAACACUAUCGACGACUAGCGUUAUUCUUCACGCGGUAACGAAACACGUAUCGCAUUUGGUGAUUACGACCCACCUUGCGAUAUGCGUUUCGUUAUUUUCCACGGUAACGCUGACCUGCGAUACGAAUCCAUGACGUCAGAGGACAAGCAACAAUUGAACAAUUAAUAUGUUCGUCGAACAGACUAUUUUUAAUGGAUCAACAUGAUAUAUGCUGCAAUAAAAAGAGCAGCUUAAGCAAUAGCUGCUAAGAUAACAGCUGGCAAUAUUAUCCAAGUUAUAUUUCUGAGCAGCCUUGACCAGUGAAUUAUCCAAAUCUUCGGUACAGCAUCAUUGGGAAUGAUGUAGAUUCUAGAAGGUGGUUUUGUCCCUCAACCUCUGGUAGACAUUAUAUUGUGUUAGUCAUGCAUUUUGUUUAUCCUAUACUUUUCCAAAUAUUUAUUUGAAAAUAAAAUAUAUAUUUUUUUCAA
Long non-coding RNA from Bacillus rossius redtenbacheri, 1065 nucleotides. RefSeq lists it as uncharacterized. The transcript has 2 exons. The record is from RefSeq and is a predicted model, not a curated record. Lineage: Eukaryota; Metazoa; Arthropoda; Insecta; Phasmatodea; Bacillidae.